This 1375-nucleotide ribosomal RNA is filed under the name uncultured bacterium. RNAcentral's name for it is "bacterial SSU rRNA". It matches the Rfam family "Bacterial small subunit ribosomal RNA", at positions 28 to 1381 of the family's 1533-position model. The record is from RNAcentral.
GAUGAACGCUGGCGGCGUGCCUAAUACAUGCAAGUCGAGCGAACAGACAAGGAGCUUGCUCCUUUGACGUUAGCGGCGGACGGGUGAGUAACACGUGGGUAACCUACCUAUAAGACUGGGAUAACUUCGGGAAACCGGAGCUAAUACCGGAUAAUAUUUCGAACCGCAUGGUUCGAUAGUGAAAGAUGGUUUUGCUAUCACUUAUAGAUGGACCCGCGCCGUAUUAGCUAGUUGGUAAGGUAACGGCUUACCAAGGCGACGAUACGUAGCCGACCUGAGAGGGUGAUCGGCCACACUGGAACUGAGACACGGUCCAGACUCCUACGGGAGGCAGCAGUAGGGAAUCUUCCGCAAUGGGCGAAAGCCUGACGGAGCAACGCCGCGUGAGUGAUGAAGGUCUUCGGAUCGUAAAACUCUGUUAUUAGGGAAGAACAUACAUGUAAGUAACUAUGCACGUCUUGACGGUACCUAAUCAGAAAGCCACGGCUAACUACGUGCCAGCAGCCGCGGUAAUACGUAGGUGGCAAGCGUUAUCCGGAAUUAUUGGGCGUAAAGCGCGCGUAGGCGGUUUUUUAAGUCUGAUGUGAAAGCCCACGGCUCAACCGUGGAGGGUCAUUGGAAACUGGAAAACUUGAGUGCAGAAGAGAAAAGUGGAAUUCCAUGUGUAGCGGUGAAAUGCGCAGAGAUAUGGAGGAACACCAGUGGCGAAGGCGACUUUCUGGUCUGUAACUGACGCUGAUGUGCGAAAGCGUGGGGAUCAAACAGGGAUUAGAUACCCUGGGUAGUCCACGCCGUAAACGAUGAGUGCUAAGUGUUAGGGGGUUUCCGCCCCCUUAGUGCUGCAGCUAACGCAUUAAGCACUCCGCCUGGGGAGUACGACCGCAAGGUUGAAACUCAAAGGAAUUGACGGGGACCCGCACAAGCGGUGGAGCAUGUGGUUUAAUUCGAAGCAACGCGAAGAACCUUACCAAAUCUUGACAUCCUUUGACAACUCUAGAGAUAGAGCCUUCCCCUUCGGGGGACAAAGUGACAGGUGGUGCAUGGUUGUCGUCAGCUCGUGUCGUGAGAUGUUGGGUUAAGUCCCGCAACGAGCGCAACCCUUAAGCUUAGUUGCCAUCAUUAAGUUGGGCACUCUAAGUUGACUGCCGGUGACAAACCGGAGGAAGGUGGGGAUGACGUCAAAUCAUCAUGCCCCUUAUGAUUUGGGCUACACACGUGCUACAAUGGACAAUACAAAGGGCAGCGAAACCGCGAGGUCAAGCAAAUCCCAUAAAGUUGUUCUCAGUUCGGAUUGUAGUCUGCAACUCGACUACAUGAAGCUGGAAUCGCUAGUAAUCGUAGAUCAGCAUGCUACGGUGAAUACGUGCCCGGGUCU